Molecule: long non-coding RNA, 4643 nt
Organism: Astyanax mexicanus (Mexican tetra)
Lineage: Eukaryota; Metazoa; Chordata; Actinopteri; Characiformes; Acestrorhamphidae
Exons: 3
Source: RefSeq, a predicted model, not a curated record
GUUCAAAAACUGUAAGUAGCAGUUAAAAAAGGCAAUGGCAAGUUAAAAUAAUAAUAAUAAACUGUACAAAAUACGGAUUCUAAUCACGUGAAUGACCUUAAGUUUUUUGCCUUUAACGUUACCUGAUACAACGAUUUAGCCUACCCACACCUAUCCUACAUUGGCUUCUGCUUUGUGGUACACGGUGAACCCGCAAACACCUCCACCUGGUGUUCGAAGCAGGAAUUACAGUCUGCCCAGAUCCAGGGUCAUUUAAGAUUGACUCCUAGAUCUGUCAGGUACUGGAUCUCAGGGGUGAGCAUUUUUCGGCAGAGCUCGCUGUACUCCUGGUCAAUGUUGGUCCUCAGAUUGUAUCCUAAAAUAGAGUUUUCUCCCAGCGGCUGCCAGGGCUUCAUGCUUUCGUCCCUUAUGUCUCCCUCCUCCACUGCCUUCCCGCCGUCGAUGCAGAUGGCCGACAUCUCCAUGUUCCUCCUGCGCAGUUCCCUCACGUCCCUCUCCAUCCGCUUCCUGCCGUAGGCGUCCACCCUGGCCCAUAAGGUUGCGUUAAAGUGCCGGUACAGCCUCCAGUCUGCACCGUUCCAGGCUCGGCCCUUGGCUUUGAGUUCAGGUGUGAGCAGGGACACACUCGCACCUCUGCGGGCGUUGAGUUUAAAAUAGAGCAAGUCGUCCAUCUGCCAGCAGAGAGCGUCCUUGAGCAGAAUGAGAGAUUCCUCAAAGUGUUCAGCAAUCAGAACCAACUGGAAGCGCUCAGAAAUGGCCUGGAUGGCCUGGUCCACGGCUACGUCCUCUGGCUCCAAGGUGUUGUCGUGCCCAAGAUCAAAAAGCUGCAAGUUCUUGAGGUAAAAGGAAUUAAUCCCAUCUGGACUGAAGUACCUCUCAGGCUCUUUAAUAAAGGCACUCAGUUUGUCCUCCCCUCGGAUCCUCCAGGUCAGGGGCAUCACCCGGUUGUAGUAGUGAAAGGAUGACUCGAACACUAGUGCUGGGUCUCUGAGGAUGGUGAAGAAGAAGGCAUCGUCUGGAAGAAGAGCCUCUACUUCAGGCGCAUUGAAGCGCAUGUGGUUGCACAAGAUAUUGAAGCACUCCCCAGGCCUGUAGUCCUUCACCAGAGUGUGGUCGAAAGGAGCCGGGUACAAGAAGUCGUUGCGACUGUCGGGAAGAGCAAACCUCAGCUGGUUCUUCUGCCCAAAGCGUAGGAGGAUGUUGAGGAUGGUGCUGCUUGCCGCCUUGUGGGUCUUCAGGAACAUCAAGUUGACCUUCGGCGUGCAGCGCUCCAUCUUGCUGAUGCCCAGAGGUACAUGGAACAGCUUCUGUUCUUGUGUCUUUUGAGCUGGAGGAUGUCUACAUGAAGCGGCCACUGGUAAUCUGAAAUCAGAAAGAUCUAUUACUUGGGUUAGCACAAUAUAUAAUUGUAAUUAUCAUAGCUGAUACUGAUACAGCAACUUUGAGUGUCUGCAGAUAUUGAUACAAUACUGGUUGUGAAAGUUAGCAGUCACCAUCCCUUUUGUUUCUUCACUCAUAUUCAUUGUUUCAGCUCCACUGAUCAUACAGGACAUUUUGUAGUUCUUUAAUGAAUUACAGAAUGUAGUUCUGUAUCUGUUCCCCUGCAUACUUUAUUAUUAUCCUCCUUUUAACUUGUUCUUCAAUACUCAGGACCACAAAAGAGAGACGAUCACAAAGAUACAGUUAUUAUUAUUUGGGUGGUGGGUCAUUAUUGUCAGCACUGAACUAAUUAGCACUGAUUAGCAUGGUGGUGGUGUAUGAGGUGUUAGUGUGUGUUGUGCUGGAUCAGAAACAGCAGUGCUGCUGGAGUUUUUAAACACCUCAUUGUCACUGCUGGACUGAGAAUAUUCCACCAAAACAAACUGCAGCACCACCACCCAAAUAAUAACAGCUGUUCUGUGGUGGUCUCUUUCUCCUGUGGGGUCCUGAGUAUUGAAUAAUAGUGUGAAAGAAUAAUAAUAAUAAAGUAUGCAGAGAAAAAUAAGUAAUUAUCUGUUAUGUUGAGAGCCUGGGUGAUGUACUGUACCUCUGUGUGUCAGCCUGCAAUCCAGGUGUAGAAAAGCAAUAAAGCACCAUGGUGACGCAGAUGAAGAGGAAACCCAGAACCAGUUUCUGCACACCUGACCUGGAGGUGUGAUGAGACAUGUUUCCACCGUCUCUCCAAAGUGAUUCCUGAAAACCUAUUGACACAUAAACAAACAGAACAUACUUUCAGGAACUUUGCUGUACUUUCAGUGACUCAGCAAAUGGAACAAUAAAAAAAUAACAAUAGUCAAAUAAUCAGCAAUCAAAAUAAACCUAUUUUAAAUACAUUUUAAAUAAAUCUAUUUUUUUGUGCUAACAUGUGCAUUUCACCUGGUAAUUUUAAAGUGUUUUUAAUCUUUAAAUGUAUUUUAACAUAAAUUAAACACAUCGCCAAUUUUGUCUGGAACCUCUUCAAUUUAACCUCUUUAAUUAAUUUUAUAGAAAGAGCAGUGGUGUAUUAGCUUUAUAUACAUUAAUUUAUAGAAUACUUUUAUAUAGUGUAUUUUAGUAAUUAAAUCUAUAUUCUACAUUUUAACUUAUUUACUAAUCGAUUUACUUUUUUAUAUACUAUCUUAGUUGUUCUGUAUUCCUUCAGUGUGAUCAGCAGUCAUCAAAGCAUUUCACUGCUAAUUGGACCGUGUUUGACUACGAAUGUGAUCAAUAAACAUUGAACUGUAUACCUUAUAGUAUUAGUGUGUAGCGUGCAAUUGGGAUGCAGCCGUAAAAGAAAGCCUUUACUGUACACAGUCGAGACAGAUACUGCAAUAAAAGCAAGAUAAAGUUGUUUGUAACACCCUUGAUUUCAGAAGAACACAAUAAAUUAGCAGGUGUCCCAACACUGUUGUCCACAAUGUUUGCCUGUAAAUGUACCUUCAUUGCUGUGUUUACUCUGGUAAACUCUGGUAAGGUCCCCGUGCACCUUCAGACAGGUGUAGAUACUGCCAUUCAUCAAGCCUGCUGUUGUUUUAAGGCUAGGCCAGUUUUAGCUUGGUUAAAAAGCAUGACAGGAAUGUAUCUGUGUGAGGUUUGAGAAAAAUUCACACGUACCAAGAAAAUGAUUGGCACUAGUGUAUUGAAGACAGUACAACAAAAUACUGUUGUUUAUGUAUUUAUUCUACUUUAUUGCACAAAGUGUUACAAACUGGAUCGAAGUGGAUUUUUUUACUCGCAAAACUAAACAGUGCUUCGGAUCAUUAACACCAAAUCAUCAGCACACAGCCUGCCUUGUUUGAAUAGAGGGCUCAUUCCUAGACAGCAUAAUGUAUGAGAGUGACGAGUGACGAGAAUUUGACGAGUUAUUUAUUCGAUUUUUUACGCUACAUGCCCAAAUAUGUGUGGAAAACCCUCCUAAUGAAUGUAUUUAGCUACUUCAGGUUCCACCCACUGUCAAUAUAAUCCUAAAGUAAUAUUACAGUAUUUCAGGGUAUUUUUGCAAUACUAAUAUUCUUAGCAAUAUAACUAAAAAUUGAUAUUUUAAAACUGAAUUCCAAUAAUAAUAAAUAUAAAACAAAUAUUAAUAAUAGUGUUGUAUUUAGUAGGUAUAUAAGAGAUAUUUAAGAGUUUAUAAUCAUCAGAGUUUUAUACGUUCAGUAGAAAAAAGAAAAUCUAUAAACCUAAUUUACAGUGACUUACAGAGAGUCUGAUUUUGUGUGUAAUAAUGAUAGUAUAACAGAAAGAAAAUCUACCACAAAACUGUUUGGCAUAUUUAGUGCACAUAAACUGCAAACAAAGAAUUAAAAGUAAAUACACUAAAUAGCUCAAUAAAUUUAAACUGACAUUUUAAAACGUUUUUGGCAAUUUUGUUGUAUAUAAUCUAAUAUGGUACACCCCAAGUCCCCAGUAUUGAGCUGUGGAGAAAUGGAACUGUGUUCUCCGGAAUGAUGGAGCUCUAUCCAAUACCCAAUAAGUUGGGGUCGCUAACUUUAAAGGAUAAAAGGUGGUUUAUAUUGUGUUCAAUUCACUAUAAAUCACCAAUACAUAAUUGUGCUAAACAAUAAGCUAAAUCGUUAGCAUUAGCUAUUACAAUGUAAUAAUCUAAUGCUUUUAAAUAAUGCAGAUUUAACUGGAACACAAUUAACUCAGACAGACGUCUGAAGUAAACAGAACAUAGAAUUAACUUCUUAGUUCAUCAGUUUGCUAGUAAAUUAUUUACUACUACUGUAUUUUAUGUAUUUAAGUCUGGAAACAGUACGGGCUGUAAUAAGAGAUGCUUACACAAAGAUUGAUGCUAAACCUGUAGACUAAGUUCCUGAAAUAUGCAGGAACUGAGCUAGAUAAUUAUCUUGAUAUGAUCUGAGCUUAUAUACAGUAACUCUAUUAUACAGUUCCAGUCAAACGUUUAGACACCUCUUUUCAUUUAGUGUUUUUCUUCAUUUGUUUAUUUUCUACAUUGUAGAUUAAUAUCAAAUACCUGAAGACAAUUAAGAGAUAUAUAUGGAAUUACAUAGUAACCAGUAAAAAAAGUGUUAAUCCUCCACAUUAAUCCCCUAAACUAAACCUAAUCAUCUAGGAUGGUAGUUCUGGGAUGAGAUGGAGCUUCACAGCGUGAAGGAAAAGCAGCAAUUAUUGUUCAGCACCUCCAGGAACUCCUUCUUUCAAGAUGCUGAGAAAACUAUUCC